UCUACCGUCUCGCAGUAUCUACUCUGUUUCUCUGUGUUUUGAAAUCGAAACCGCUUCUUCUUCUCUGAUUUAUUUAGGAGUAAACUGCUAUUGCUCUUCUUUACCCUAGUUUAGUGGGUGUGGCUCUCCAUUCUCAAUUCUCAUCUAGUAUUAUGGAGGAAGAAAAGGAUGCUUUCUACGUUGUACGGAAAGGGGAUAUUAUUGGGGUUUAUAACAACUUCUCUGACUGUCAACUUCAAGCUCAAUCUUCUUCUGUGUGCAAUCCUUCUGUAAGUGUGUUCAAAGGGUAUGGAUUGCCUAAGGAGGCGAAAGAGUACCUUUCCUCACAUGGGCUCAACAACGCUGCCUAUUCUAUCCAAGCACCAGAUGUUCAAAAUGAUCUUUUUGGCAAACUUCUUCCUUGCCCUUUUCAGGAACCAGCUUCUUCUUUUAGAGCGAAAGAAUUAGACAACAAUUUUCCUCCUAAGCGGUUGCCUCAACCGCUUGAAUCAAUUAAAUUGCAUGGGUCAACAUCAAUUUCAACAAAUCCUCAGAAAAAGUUUCUGAAAUCAGAUAAUGGAGUGGAAGCUAAAAGGAUUUCUUCCAGUUGUUUAUAUCGAUAUUUUGCUUCCCUGUAUGCAUAUUUAAUUCCCUCCUGCAUUCUUGAGUUUGAUGGUGCUUCAAAAGGAAAUCCGGGACCAGCUGGUGCGGGAGCUGUACUACGAGCUGAAGAUGGAAGCAUGGUCUGCCGGCUUCGUGAAGGGUUAGGAAUUGCAACAAAUAAUGUUGCUGAAUAUCGAGCUGUACUUUUAGGACUGAAACAUGCGCUUAAGAAAGGGUUUAAAUACAUUUGUGUGCAAGGAGACUCGAAUCUUGUCUGUAUGCAGAUUCAGGGUUUAUGGAAAUUAAAAAACCAGAAUCUGGCUGACUUGUGUAAAGAGGCCAAGGAGCUGAAGGAUAUGUUCACAUCAUUCCAGAUCAAACAUGUUCCUAGGGAGACAGUUUAUCAAAUUGAUCCUGAGCUUUGGAGCCAUUGACCCUAGUGUCAUUUUCUUGUCUUUCUUUGCACUUCAAAGGAAUUCAACUUUGAAGCUGAUGUUCAAGCAAACCUGGCUGCUAAUCUUAGGGAUGGUCAGAUUGAAGAAGAUUGUAUCAGAAAGUAAUUCAGGCCCUAGGGGUUGUGAACAUAUAUCUGUUUUUCAAAUUGUAAACAGGAAAACUAGUUGCUCUGGAAUUUUGGGACAUGGUAUCCUGUAUGGGGCAGAAACUGAAAUGAUGGGUAAUAGUAGUAGAACAUAUAAUUAAACGAUCCAUUUCUUUUGCAGUGUUUUUUUUUGGAUGGAAGGUAGAAAGUAUGAAAUCGUCAAUGCUCUUCGACUCUC
This is an RNA transcript of Populus trichocarpa (black cottonwood), 1361 nucleotides long. RefSeq lists it as uncharacterized. NCBI's taxonomy places the organism in Eukaryota, Viridiplantae, Streptophyta, Magnoliopsida, Malpighiales, Salicaceae. The transcript is spliced from 11 exons. The record is from RefSeq and is a predicted model, not a curated record.